RNAcentral lists this RNase P RNA (401 nucleotides) under Nitrospinota bacterium. Its description in RNAcentral is "RNase P RNA component class A". It matches the Rfam family "Bacterial RNase P class A". From Rfam's summary of the family: Ribonuclease P (RNase P) is a ubiquitous endoribonuclease, found in archaea, bacteria and eukarya as well as chloroplasts and mitochondria. The record is from RNAcentral. Lineage: Bacteria; Pseudomonadati; Nitrospinota.
AGAGGCCGCAGGGCUGCCGCUGGCUGGAGGGUUUCUCCCUCUGGCGGGAGGAAAGUCCGGACAUCACAGAGCAGGGAACUCUUUAACGAAGAGCGGGGGCGACCCCAGGGAAAGCGCAACAGAAAAUAUACCGCUAACCUUCGGCCGCAAGGUCGUGGGCAGUAAGGUUGAAAUGGCGAGGUAAGAGCUCACCGCGGCUGUGGCGACAUGGCUGGCACUGCAAGCCCUUCCCGAUGCAAGGCCAAAUAGGAAAGCGAUUCCUCCCAGCGAGGAUGAAGGGUUGCUCGCCCGGGGCUUUCGGGUAGGUCGCAUGACCGCGUCGGCAACGGCGCGGCUAGAUGAAUGGCAGCCACCUCUCUUUUUGAGUGGUACAAAAUCCGGCUUACAAGCGGCCUCUUAGC